Molecule: long non-coding RNA, 434 nt
Organism: Pseudophryne corroboree (corroboree frog)
Lineage: Eukaryota; Metazoa; Chordata; Amphibia; Anura; Myobatrachidae
Exons: 2
Source: RefSeq, a predicted model, not a curated record
UUGUGUCCUAGUAUGUCAAUCACAUAAGAAGCUCCGCCUCUCCAGACUACACAACUACAGAGCAGCUGCCAAAUGGGGGUACUGUGACAUGAGCCUGCUCCAGGUGCCAUGACUCCAUGCUACGCCUCUGGGUGGAGGCAACAGAAUUGGGAAGAAGCUGUAUUUGAGGAAUAAAGCAUAAGGCAGGAGUGACAAGAAGGCAGCAGGAGCAGCACAUUACGACAAUAAUGAAAGACUCCAGGAUACCACCGACUCCCACAACCCAAGUAAGACGCAGAAAAAGGAUGACCCCGAAGAUGUUCUGUAGACAGGGGAGGUAGACCCCCAUAAAGGUUCCCAUCCUUGGAGCCUAAAAUAAAUAAAAAGAAAGAUUAUAUGAGGUCCUGAAAAUAGAAAACCUCUACAUGAUUAUAUGGGAACGUGUGAACAGAAAA